UACGUAGGGGGCAAGCGUUGUCCGGAUUUAUUGGGCGUAAAGAGCUCGUAGGCGGUUGGGUAAGUCGGGUGUGAAAACUCAGGGCUCAACUCUGAGACGCCACUCGAUACUGCCCUGACUCGAGUCCGGUAGGGGAGCGUGGAAUUCCCGGUGUAGCGGUGAAAUGCGCAGAUAUCGGGAGGAACACCAGUGGCGAAGGCGGCGCUCUGGGCCGGAACUGACGCUGAGGAGCGAAAGCGUGGGUAGCAAACAGG
Molecule: ribosomal RNA, 254 nt
Filed under: uncultured bacterium
Lineage: Bacteria
Description: partial 16S ribosomal RNA
Rfam family: Bacterial small subunit ribosomal RNA
Source: RNAcentral